AAUAGAUGACGCCGUUGAUUUUUUUCUUACAUGUUUGACCAUUCAUCUUAUUUAAAAACAACAUUUUUAUUAUGAGUUGUUUUAUCACCCAUAGUACUUUAAGUGUGAUUUAUAUCUUAUACAUUUAUAUAAAGUUUUUGAAUAAGACGAAUGGUCAAACAUGUGAGAAAAAGUCAACGGCGUCAUCUAUU
RNAcentral lists this microRNA precursor (191 nucleotides) under Oryza sativa Japonica Group (Japanese rice). Its description in RNAcentral is "MIR812 microRNA precursor family". It matches the Rfam family "MIR812 microRNA precursor family". Lineage: Eukaryota; Viridiplantae; Streptophyta; Magnoliopsida; Poales; Poaceae. The record is from Rfam by way of RNAcentral.